ACUAACAAGGAUUCCCCUAGUAACGGCGAGUGAAGCGGGAAGAGCCCAACUUUGAAAUCUGGCGCCUCUGGCGUCCGAGUUGUAGUCUCGAGAAGCAAUGCCCGUGCCGGUCCACACCAAGGCUGUUCGGAUGCAGCGUCAUAGAGGGUGUCAACCCCGUUUGCAGUGUGGCCGCCCGGUACACCAGCGGCAUGCUCUCCACGAGUCGAGUUGUUUGGGAAUGCAG
RNAcentral lists this ribosomal RNA (226 nucleotides) under Helicotheca tamesis. Its description in RNAcentral is "partial Eukaryotic large subunit ribosomal RNA". It matches the Rfam family "Eukaryotic large subunit ribosomal RNA", at positions 64 to 285 of the family's 3401-position model. Lineage: Eukaryota; Bacillariophyta; Thalassiosirophyceae; Lithodesmiales; Lithodesmiaceae. The record is from RNAcentral.